ACGGAAGGCAGCAGUGGGGAAUAUUGCGCAAUGGGGGCAACCCUGACGCAGCAACGCCGCGUGAUUGAAGAAGGUCUUCGGAUUGUAAAAAUCUUUUAUCAGGGACGAAGAAGUGACGGUACCUGAUGAAUAAGCUCCGGCUAACUACGUGCCAGCAGCCGCGGUAAUACGUAGGGAGCAAGCGUUAUCCGGAUUUACUGGGUGUAAAGGGCGAGUAGGCGGGUCGGCAAGUUGGGAGUGAAAUGUCGGGGCUUAACCCCGGAACUGCUUCCAAAACUGUUGAUCUUGAGUGAUGGAGAGGCAGGCGGAAUUCCCAGUGUAGCGGUGAAAUGCGUAGAUAUUGGGAGGAACACCAGUGGCGAAGGCGGCCUGCUGGACAUUAACUGACGCUGAGGAGCGAAAGCGUGGGGAGCAAACAGGAUUAGAUACCCUGGUA
This 436-nucleotide ribosomal RNA is filed under the name uncultured Butyricicoccus sp. RNAcentral describes it as "bacterial SSU rRNA". It matches the Rfam family "Bacterial small subunit ribosomal RNA", at positions 341 to 792 of the family's 1533-position model. Lineage: Bacteria; Bacillati; Bacillota; Clostridia; Eubacteriales; Butyricicoccaceae. The record is from RNAcentral.